ACGUAGGGGGCGAGCGUUGUCCGGAUUUACUGGGCGUAAAGCGCGUGUAGGCGGCGGCUUAAGUCGGGUGUGAAAGCCCGGGGCUCAACCCCGGGAUGCCGCCCGAGACUGGGUCGCUUGAGGACGGAAGAGGGGAGUGGAAUUCCUGGUGUAGCGGUGAAAUGCGUAGAGAUCAGGAGGAACACCCGUGGCGAAGGCGGCUCCCUGGUCCGUUUCUGACGCUGAGACGCGAAAGCGCGGGGAGCGAACGGGA
This 253-nucleotide ribosomal RNA is filed under the name uncultured prokaryote. Its description in RNAcentral is "partial 16S ribosomal RNA". It matches the Rfam family "Bacterial small subunit ribosomal RNA", at positions 525 to 777 of the family's 1533-position model. The record is from RNAcentral.